GCGUGAGUGAAGAAGGCCCUAGGGUUGUAAAGCUCUUUCACUGAUGAAGAUGAUGACGGUAAUCAGAGAAGAAGCCCCGGCUAACUCCGUGCCAGCAGCCGCGGUAAUACGGAGGGGGCAAGCGUUGUUCGGAAUUACUGGGCGUAAAGCGCACGUAGGCGGCGGAUCAAGUCAGAGGUGAAAGCCCGGGGCUCAACCCCGGAAUUGCCUUUGAGACUGAUUUGCUUGAGUUCGGAAGAGGGUAGUGGAAUUCCAAGUGUAGAGGUGAAAUUCGU
Molecule: ribosomal RNA, 275 nt
Filed under: uncultured bacterium
Lineage: Bacteria
Description: partial 16S ribosomal RNA
Rfam family: Bacterial small subunit ribosomal RNA
Source: RNAcentral